This 535-nucleotide ribosomal RNA is filed under the name Pichia pseudolambica. Its description in RNAcentral is "eukaryotic LSU rRNA". It matches the Rfam family "Eukaryotic large subunit ribosomal RNA", at positions 91 to 653 of the family's 3401-position model. Lineage: Eukaryota; Fungi; Ascomycota; Pichiomycetes; Pichiales; Pichiaceae. The record is from RNAcentral.
GAGUGAAGCGGCAAGAGCUCAGAUUUGGAAUCGUGUUUCGGCACGAGUUGUAAAUUGCAGGUUGGAGUCUUUGUGGAAGCGUGUGUCCAAGUCCCUUGGAACAGGGCGCCAUUGAGGGUGAGAGCCCCGUGGGAUGCGCGCGGAAGCAGCAAGGCCCUUCUGACGAGUCGAGUUGUUUGGGAAUGCAGCUCUAAGCGGGUGGUAAAUUCCAUCUAAGGCUAAAUACUGGCGAGAGACCGAUAGCGAACAAGUACUGUGAAGGAAAGAUGAAAAGCACUUUGAAAAGAGAGUGAAACAGCACGUGAAAUUGUUGAAAGGGAAGGGUAUUGGGCCCGACAUGGGGAUUGCGCAUCUCUGCUCCUUGUGGGCGGGGCGCUGUGCUUUCCCUGGGCCAGCAUCGGUUUUUGCCGCAGGAGAAGGGGUACUGGAAUGUGGCUCCUCGGAGUGUUAUAGCCAGUGCCAGAUGCUGCGUGCGGGGACCGAGGGCUGCGACAUCUGUCUCGGAUGCUGGCACAACGGCGCAAUACCGCCCGUC